AGGACAAACGCUGGCGGCGUGCCUAAGACAUGCAAGUCGGACGGAAGGCUUCGGCCUUUAGUGGCGGACGGGUGAGGAGCGCGUGGAGAACCCGCCCCGGGGUGGGGGAUAACACUCGGAAACGAGUGCUAAGACCGCAUACGAUCAUUCGUCGAUGGACGGGUGAGGAAAGCAGUGAUGUGCCCUGGGAGGGCUCCGCGUCGGAUUAGCUGGUUGGUGGGGUAACGGCCUACCAAGGCAACGAUCCGUAGCUGGUCUGAGAGGACGGCCAGCCACACUGGGACUGAGACACGGCCCAGACUCCUACGGGAGGCAGCAGUGGGGAAUAUUGGACAAUGGGCGAAAGCCUGAUCCAGCAAUGCCGCGUGUGUGAAGAAGGUUUUCGGAUUGUAAAGCACUUUCGACGGGGACGAUGAUGACGGUACCCGUAGAAGAAGCCCGGCUAACUUCGUGCCAGCAGCCGC
RNAcentral lists this ribosomal RNA (464 nucleotides) under uncultured bacterium. Its description in RNAcentral is "SSU rRNA". It matches the Rfam family "Bacterial small subunit ribosomal RNA", at positions 26 to 518 of the family's 1533-position model. The record is from RNAcentral.